RNAcentral lists this ribosomal RNA (492 nucleotides) under uncultured bacterium. RNAcentral's name for it is "partial 16S ribosomal RNA". It matches the Rfam family "Bacterial small subunit ribosomal RNA", at positions 29 to 507 of the family's 1533-position model. The record is from RNAcentral.
AGUGAACGCUGGCGGUAGGCCUAACACAUGCAAGUCGAACGGCAGCACAUUAAGAUCUUGCUCUUACGGGUGGCGAGUGGCGGACGGGUGAGGAAUACAUCGGAAUCUACUUUUUCGUGGGGGAUAACGUAGGGAAACUUACGCUAAUACCUCAUACGACCUACGGGUGAAAGCAGGGGAUCUUCGUACCUUGCGCGAUUGAAUGAGCCGAUGUCGGAUUAGCUAGUUGGCGGGGUAAAGGCCCACCAAGGCGACGAUCCGUAGCUGGUCUGAGAGGAUGAUCAGCCACACUGGAACUGAGACACGGUCCAGACUCCUACGGGAGGCAGCAGUGGGGAAUAUUGGACAAUGGGCGCAAGCCUGAUCCAGCCAUACCGCGUGGGUGAAGAAGGCCUUCGGGUUGUAAAGCCCUUUUGUUGGGAAAGAAAAGCAGCAGGUUAAUACCCCGCUGUUCUGACGGUACCCAAAGAAUAAGCACCGGCUAACUUCGUG